Molecule: long non-coding RNA, 2276 nt
Organism: Vicia villosa (hairy vetch)
Lineage: Eukaryota; Viridiplantae; Streptophyta; Magnoliopsida; Fabales; Fabaceae
Exons: 7
Source: RefSeq, a predicted model, not a curated record
GAAGGGGUAUUAGGGUUUGAGAUGUUGUCGACACUGAACAUCAUACAAAGAAACUUCCUUCUCUUCUUCAGCGGCGGCUAACCCUUCUCUCUCCAAUGGAUUUUCGUUUUGUCUCUCUUCUCUUCCGAUUCAUCUUCCAUUUUCCGUCUUCACAUGCGAUGGUGAUUCUCUCUUUUCCGGCGAGAGACUCUCUGUUGUGCCGCUUCAAACCUCUCCGUCUCAAACCUCUCGCUCGAUCUCUUCUUCUGCUUCAACUAAAUCGAUUUGGAAGAACACGUCGAAGGUGUUGAAUGUUGGUGAAGAAACUUUCAUGUCGGUGUUUGAGCGGUGAAGUUGACGAAUGCGUUUUGGCAUCUGUUGCAGAGUCCGAUUGUGUUGUUGUUGAUUCAGAUGCGGAUUUGAACGUUUGCUGAUGUGAUUGGGUGAGAUCGUUUCAAACCUAUUAUCUUUUAAUCUCUCUUCUUUUAUCUCUUUACUUUCCGAAGGGUUUGAUGUAUUUGGAAAAUGAUGAAAGAAAAUGUUUGGGUUUUUGUUUGAUUUUUAUGUAUCUGGCUUUUCUGAUGAACAUGAAUAAUGCUCAUUUCUUCUGUUACAACCGAUUUUUGAAGGUUUUUGGUUGUUUUGAGAAAGUGAUGAUUUAGGGUUCUGGUUGUUGGUUCUGCGGCCGUGUAUUUUGCAGAUGGUGAAACAAAGAGGAAUCCCUUCGGAACCGCUUUGCAGUAUAUGUGGGACAAUCGGAAGUCUGAGUUUUGUAUCACCAGCUUUGGUUCAAGAUUUGACUAUGCCUGCUCAAGUACAUGGCUGAUCUAUAUAGUGUUGCGUUUCAGAUUGUGGUCAUUGUAGUGUGAAUUAUCACAACAUUGUACUAAUUCUAAAAUUUGCUUUUGUAUUGGUGUUUCGCGGCCGUAACGAUGUUUUGUUGUGGUUGUAACGAUUCUCAUUCGAGGCUGAACUGACAAUUUUUGUAACAAUUGUGCAGAUUGGUGAAGCUGUUGGAGGACAUCAUGGAUGGGAGUUGAAUAUUGAUAUUCAUGGAUAUUGUUGAGUGAGAUUCAGUGGGUUACUUUUGUUCUACUGACUAUGGGGAGCACUACAACUUAAAUGUUGAUGAAUUUCUAUGAGGUACUUGAAGUACUGGUAACAAAAGGAGCAGGCAGCGAUGAUCGUCGAAGUAUCAAAGGUUGUGUGGUUUGUUUGAAUUAUUUUCAAGAACAAAAGGAGCAGGUCUCAUUUUAAAUUCUUCAUCUCACACUCUUCUAUGUGCCAUUUUUUUUUGUUCUGUUGUGGCUUAAUAAACUUAUCCCCUAUUUCUCACGUAUUGUUAUUAGAGCUGAUGAUAAUGGAGAGGGUAAGUAAUUUGAAUUUUCCUUUUCAACUUUUUGAAGAUUUUUAUGUAUGUAUGAUUGUGCAGGUGGUACAUUUUCUCUCUGUUCAUUGGUAUCAAAUUCUUAAUGAAGAACAAGAAAUCUAUGUAUGAAAUCGUUUUAUGAAUCUAUAGCAUGUAUUAUGCAUUUUGGCUACAGAUUCUACAAAGAGCUUACGCAAAAUUGUCACAGUAAAACCAAAGAUAAAACACAAAAGGUAUCUGUUUGGUUUUCCAGGUCCGGUUUAUACGGUUACUUUUAAAAAAUAAGCUUAUACAAUCUUUUUUCGUUUUUCUUUUCAUUUCUUCACAUCGUUUUUCUUUUCAUUUCUUCACAUCGUUUCUACUCAUACUCGGACGAGUUUCCUUUAGUUGUAAAAACAGCAGUGGUCGUAGAUGGCAGUUUGUACGGAAUCAAUCAAAUUCGAGUAUACUUUUUAGCCUAGCUGGUAUUCUGUUAGUUAAUCAUUUGUAAUAUUUACCAACAUUAUUAGGGAAAUAAAGUUAAUUAAAUUGCUCUUAUUGGCAGUGCUGAUCAAUAUGGGAACCGUUUUAUUCAACAAAUGCUUGAAACGUGCUGUCCUGGUUGGCUUUAGGACAAGAAGAUGAUGACACUACAUCUCUCCAAAGCCAACCACCUCAUCGCGAAGCUUUCCGAAUACGACAGUUCCUGAAAGCUCGAGCCAACAACACAUCACAUACGAGAUCAGUUUCAUAUGGAAGCACACUUUUUGGCGAUUUAUCUGGCAGCACCGGUAGAUAUUAAGUAUUGCAUUUAACAGUGGCAGGGCAAUAAAUUAUUGGCUUUAGCAACAAUGAAUGAUAUAAUUAAUUGGUCUCCAGUAUAUAAAUAUAGAUCCAAAUCACAUUUUCUUAUAGAUAUUACAAGUGUAAAUAUGCUUUGAAAAAUACA